This 75-nucleotide transfer RNA is filed under the name Bradyrhizobium aeschynomenes. Its description in RNAcentral is "tRNA-Thr". The stretch from base 5 to 70 matches the Rfam family "tRNA". From Rfam's summary of the family: Transfer RNA (tRNA) molecules are approximately 80 nucleotides in length. Their secondary structure includes four short double-helical elements and three loops (D, anti-codon, and T loops). Lineage: Bacteria; Pseudomonadati; Pseudomonadota; Alphaproteobacteria; Hyphomicrobiales; Nitrobacteraceae. The record is from RNAcentral.
GGCGUCUGUAGCUCAGCUGGAUAGAGCUCCCUCUAGUAAAGGGAAGGUCGGGGGUUCGAGUCCCCCCAGAAUUCG